This 520-nucleotide ribosomal RNA is filed under the name uncultured Glomus. RNAcentral describes it as "SSU rRNA". It matches the Rfam family "Eukaryotic small subunit ribosomal RNA", at positions 569 to 1090 of the family's 1831-position model. Lineage: Eukaryota; Fungi; Glomeromycota; Glomeromycetes; Glomerales; Glomeraceae. The record is from RNAcentral.
AGCAGCCGCGGUAAUUCCAGCUCCAAUAGCGUAUAUUAAAGUUGUUGCAGUUAAAAAGCUCGUAGUUGAAUUUCGGGGUUAGUAGGUUGGUCAUGCCUCUGGUAUGUACUGGUCUCACUGAUUCCUCCUUCCUUAUGAACCGUAAUGCCAUUAAUUUGGUGUUGCGGGGAAUUUGGACUGUUACUUUGAAAAAAUUAGAGUGUUUAAAGCAAGCUAACGCUUGAAUACAUUAGCAUGGAAUAAUGAAAUAGGACGUUCGAUCUUAUUUUGUUGGUUUCUAGGAUUGACGUAAUGAUUAAUAGGGAUAGUUGGGGGGCAUUAGUAUUCAAUUGUCAGAGGUGAAAUUCUUGGAUUUAUUGAAGACUAACUACUGCGAAAGCAUUUGCCAAGGAUGUUUUCAUUAAUCAAGAACGAAAGUUAGGGGAUCGAAGACGAUCAGAUACCGUCGUAGUCUUAACCAUAAACUAUGCCGACUAGGGAUCGGAUGAUGUUAAUUUUUAAUGACUCAUUCGGCGCCUUA